RNAcentral lists this ribosomal RNA (460 nucleotides) under uncultured bacterium. Its description in RNAcentral is "partial 16S ribosomal RNA". It matches the Rfam family "Bacterial small subunit ribosomal RNA", at positions 338 to 795 of the family's 1533-position model. The record is from RNAcentral.
CCUACGGGAGGCAGCAGUGAGGAAUAUUGGUCAAUGGGCGAGAGCCUGAACCAGCCAAGUAGCGUGAAGGAUGACUGCCCUAUGGGUUGUAAACUUCUUUUAUACAGGAAUAAAGCGCAUUACGUGUACUGUUUUGCAUGUACUUUAUGAAUAAGGAUCGGCUAACUCCGUGCCAGCAGCCGCGGUAAUACGGAGGAUCCGAGCGUUAUCCGGAUUUAUUGGGUUUAAAGGGAGCGUAGGUGGACUGUUAAGUCAGUUGUGAAAGUUUGCGGCUCAACCGUAAAAUUGCAGUUGAUACUGGCAGUCUUGAGUACAGUUGAGGUAGGCGGAAUUCGUGGUGUAGCGGUGAAAUGCUUAGAUAUCACGAAGAACCCCGAUUGCGAAGGCAGCUUACUGAACUGGAACUGACACUGAUGCUCGAAAGUGUGGGUAUCAAACAGGAUUAGAUACCCGGGUAGUC